GCUCAGGAUGAGUUACUCACAGCCCCAGUUAGCUUGCUUAUUAUAAGAUGCAGACACAGAUCCUCAGAGAUGUUGUUGGCUUGGUUUCUGACCACCACAAUAAAACAGAUAUUGCAAUAAAGACCCUGGGAGGAAGGAAAGCUCAGCCAGGACCGGGAAGAAACCAGCAUCCCUGGGGCGCGUUCCUGGAAACGUCUCUUACUGCAGCAAGAUCUCUUACUAGAAGGCGCAGACUGGAACCCUCUCCAGCUUCGCUGACAGAAAAAAGGAAGUGGAGCAAACACCUACAAAACAGACAGGAAAAAGGAAGUGGAGCAAACACCUACAAAACACCUUCAGGACUGGCAGUUCCAAGCCUCAGCUAGCAGCCUAUAAAUUUACCACCUUCACUAUCAAGAUAAGAAGACCUUGUCUCAGAGUGCUUAAGUGAUGUGAUCAGCUACAUAGCUUAUAGGUGUUAAAACAAACUGGCUCCGGGAUCCACACACACUCUCACCUACUGGGCUAGACACCUUCAAUGACCCUCUGUUUGAUGCUGAAAGUACAACUUAGAGAGAUUAAGUGACUUGACCAGGCUACACAGCUGACAAAAAAAGCUGAGACUUCAGCCCUGGAUCCUUCAUGCUAAGCUCUUGGCAACAAUGCAAACCCAAAAGUGUUGGGUCUUCAGGGAGGACCAACCAUAAUGAUGCCUUCUUACUGCUCAUUCUUGAUUUGCACGUGACUCUGCUCCACUCAUGAACCCCUGUUUUGCCACUAGGUUCAGCUGUGGUUGAUUUUCAGAACCCACAGGGACGAAAAAAAAAACCAUAUUCCUAUUUGUUGCAAUUGUUCUUGGGGCUUCCCAGGUAAUGUAGUGGUAAAGAACCCGUCUGCCAAUGCAGGAAAUGCAAGAGAUGUAGGUUCAAUCCCUGGAUCCGGAAGAUACCCUGGGAAAUGGCAACCCACUCCAGUAUUCUUGCCUGGAAAAUUCCAUGAACAGAGGAGCCUGAUGGGCUACGGUCCAUGGGGUCAUGAAGAGUCAGACACAGAUGAGCACGCACGCACAGCACAGUGGUUUUUAGUAACGGCAACUCUUAGAAUCACCCGGGGUUCUUUAUAAUCUGUUGAUGCCAAGGCUCCACCUUAGACCAGAAUAUCUGAGGUGGGGGACAAGGACACCAGUAUUUCAUAAGAACUAUCCAGGUGAAUUUAAUGUGCAGUCAGGGC
Long non-coding RNA from Bos taurus (domestic cattle), 1209 nucleotides. The record is from Ensembl. Lineage: Eukaryota; Metazoa; Chordata; Mammalia; Artiodactyla; Bovidae.